GACGUAGGGCGCGAGCGUUGUCCGGAUUUAUUGGGCGUAAAGAGCUCGUAGGCGGCUUGUUGCGUCGACUGUGAAAACCCGCGGCUUAACUGCGGGCUUGCAGUUGAUACGGGCAGGCUAGAGUUCGGUAGGGGAGACUGGAAUUCCUGGUGUAGCGGUGAAAUGCGCAGAUAUCAGGAGGAACACCGGUGGCGAAGGCGGGUCUCUGGGCCGAUAUUGACGCUGAGGAGCGAAAGCGUGGGGAGCAAACAGG
RNAcentral lists this ribosomal RNA (253 nucleotides) under uncultured bacterium. RNAcentral's name for it is "partial 16S ribosomal RNA". It matches the Rfam family "Bacterial small subunit ribosomal RNA", at positions 524 to 776 of the family's 1533-position model. The record is from RNAcentral.